RNAcentral lists this long non-coding RNA (442 nucleotides) under Hordeum vulgare. RNAcentral describes it as "long non-coding RNA (HVUL_LNC006216)". The record is from RNAcentral. Lineage: Eukaryota; Viridiplantae; Streptophyta; Magnoliopsida; Poales; Poaceae.
GAUGAUCCUGGCCUGUAUAUAUACAACCCAUUGCAAAGUGUCUUCCUUCCUCAUGUACCAAGUAAUAGUAAGUCAGCAAUUUCUAGCUUUAAAUGGAAGCAUGUAGUCCUGGACUUACUAAUGUACAAGAAGACAUUCCAGUUAUAAGCUACUACAAUUGCUAUGGGAUGUUGGAGUCAAACAAACAAUCAAGUUGUUUUGCGCUAGUUUUUAUUUAACUAGCAUUCAUGGAGUAUGCAAUAAGCUAUCCCAUCCACUGUCCCUCAAGUUGGAUUGUUGCACGCUCCCAUGGAGGUGGGAUCAUUGGGACGCUGUAACCGUUGUCGGACCGCCCAGAGAAAGAGUAGUCCCAUUCAGUAAAGAGGCGUGGGCAGAAGAAAUUGAAGAAUCCUGUUAGUUAGGCGGCCCCACAUGGCCAUGAUGGUUGGGUGGAAUACCUGCA